RNAcentral lists this ribosomal RNA (406 nucleotides) under uncultured bacterium. RNAcentral's name for it is "partial 16S ribosomal RNA". It matches the Rfam family "Bacterial small subunit ribosomal RNA", at positions 30 to 526 of the family's 1533-position model. The record is from RNAcentral.
AUUGAACGCUGGCGGCAGGCCUAACACAUGCAAGUCGAGCGAGCGGCGGACGGGUGAGUAAUGUCUGGGAAACUGCCUGAUGGAGGGGGGUAACUACUGGAAACGGUAGCUAAUACCGCAUACCAUCAGAUGUGCCCAGAUGGGAGUAGCUAGUAGGUGGGGUAAUGGCUCACCUAGGCGACGAUCCCUAGCUGGGCUGAUAGGCUGACCAGCCACACUGGAACGGAGACACGGUCCAGACUCCUACGGGAGGCAGCAGUGGGGAAUAUUGCACAAUGGGGUCAAGCCUGAUGCAGCCAUGCCGCGUGUGUGAAGAAGGCCUUCGGGUUGUAAAGCACUUUCAGCGGGGAGGCGUUACCCGCAGAAGAAGCACCGGCUAACUCCGUGCCAGCCGCCGCGGUAAUAC